GCAAGGCUAUCGUGCGUAUAAUCCACUCGUGCGAAGAGUGGAAGCCGGUGCAAAGCCGGCGCGGCCGCGCCACUGUAUUCGGUGCUGUUUUCAGAUACCGCAAGCCAGACCCUUCUUCGUGCCAUGUCUUUA
Molecule: non-coding RNA, 132 nt
Filed under: Paraburkholderia sacchari
Lineage: Bacteria; Pseudomonadati; Pseudomonadota; Betaproteobacteria; Burkholderiales; Burkholderiaceae
Source: RNAcentral